Molecule: unclassified non-coding RNA, 291 nt
Filed under: Hevea brasiliensis (rubber tree)
Lineage: Eukaryota; Viridiplantae; Streptophyta; Magnoliopsida; Malpighiales; Euphorbiaceae
Source: RNAcentral
GGAAGAGCUAGUGUUUCAAACAACUCAUGCAUUUACGGGUCUGUUUUGUGAUUCACCUGGUUUACUUCCGACCUCGCCUUGACUGGAUUCGAUCUCUGAGUUUGCUGUGCUGCUCUUCUGGCUCCGACGAUCCUCACGUGAUGGGUAGUCAUCAGCUUCAAGCAUCCUAACAACUUGGGUCAUUUUUGGUCUCUUAUCUGCCUCAGGAUCCACACACCUAAGUGCAAUCAGAAGGGCACGUUUCAAUGCUCGUGUAGCGGGUUUAGUUUCAAGACUUGGGUCAAUAACUUC